RNAcentral lists this long non-coding RNA (1806 nucleotides) under Homo sapiens (human). RNAcentral describes it as "HSALNT0306802". The record is from RNAcentral. Lineage: Eukaryota; Metazoa; Chordata; Mammalia; Primates; Hominidae.
ACUCUCCCUUCCCAAGGGCAGCUGACACCAUGACUGGUCAAUGUAGUGGUAUACUUAGCCCCUGUAUCCCAACAAGGGGCAACUCUGAAGGGUCACCCCAGCUUGAGAACUCUGAAAAUCAAAGGCUGGUGUCUCAGGUUGUGGCCCAUUUAUGGUCUUGAAAUCAACUGAAUGUGUUAUGACCAGCGAGACAAAACGAAACAGAAUGGAACAGGGGGAAAUGUAGCAGCAUGUCAUAUUAGGUGACUGGAGUCAGGGAGAGAGCCUGUGCCUGUGCGAGGAAUGGUACAUAACCUCCGUGCUCCUUGGAAAAUCAGCAGCAGCAUUUUCAUAUCUGAAGAAUCUCUAUGCCAACUAUGUCAACCUUUUCAGAUGUGCAAAUUGCACCUAGUAGGUACAAGGGCUAGCAGAUGGCUCUAAUUUCAGAGUGCCCUUGACUACUAAAAAGAAGGCACUGAUGAGAAUUUGUCUCAGGCCAGUAUUUGGUUCUGCUACAUAUAGAAGGGAUUAGCCCUUCACUCGGAGGAUCACCAGCACAUACUCUCUGUGUGGCCCAGUCCAACUUCUGUCCUGUGGGCUGCUGCCCUGUUCUACCACCUAGUGCCCAGGCAAAACCCACAUUUUAAAAUGCAAAGGAAUAACCACUGCAUGGUAAACUUAGUGGGAAGGAAUCAUACAUACUACAGGAUCAGAUGUGCAUCCACAGGAGCAAUUUUCUGAAUUGACCAAGAAGGUAAGAGCAUCUCUGACUUUGGUCACUUUAGAAUAAGAAUGGUCUUGUUCUACCUGCCCCUGAUUAAGCCUCCAGGGAGCUUAGGAAACACAGUCUAGAAAAGACUACCUCAAAAAUGUAGACAUAUUCUACUGUGGAGGAAAAAAUGUGAACGCAGAUAUUGAUCACAUCUUGUGUUACCCCUUCUCUCCAAACUUAUCUCCAAAGGCAGAGAGGAUGGAGGCUGUCUGGAGGCUCCUCCUGGCAUAUUUAACUCCCUCCUGUCCCCCUCCUACUUGCAUAUAUGGACUUCUGCACUUAGGCGCAGGCUUCUCUGCCUGAGGUGGCCCAUUCUCAAAUGCGGGCCCCUGCAGGCCAGAAAUCUCUCCUCCCUCUCUUUACACAACCUUCUGAGUCUCAUGUGUAGUAGGUGCUCAAUAAGUGUUUGCUGAAUUGAACCCCGUUUUUCCACUGAGAGAGACUAAGGCAUAAAGGCUUCAGAUCACGCAGUUCAUGGAGCCACUGGGGCUUCUCUCCCUCACCUGGCCUGAUGUUUUCAGGCGGGGUGCGGUGGGUCAGGCCUGUAAUCCCAGAACUUUGGGAGGACGAGGUGGGCGGAUCACUUGGGCCCAGGAGUUGGAGACCAGCCUGGGCAACAUGGUGAAACUCCGUCUCCACCAAAAAUACAAAAAUUUUGCUGGGCGUGCGGGCGCACACCUGUGGUCCCAGCUACUCGGGAGGCUGAGGUGGGAGGAUCGCUUGACCCCGGGAGGCGGAGGCUGCAGUGAGCCGAGAUCCCGCCAUUACACUACAGCCUGGGCGACAGAGCAAGACCCUGUCUCAAAAAACAAACAAACAAAAAAAGUUUUCCUUAAGGAAGGGAUGGACUGGGGAGGCCUGGCUUGGGGGUCACUCCUAGGUGGCGACGCAGACCCUGAGCGCUUGCUUUGCAAGGGGACGAACUGAGCCAUCUUUUUGCUAUCAUUUAUCCGUCCCAAAUAAGCAGCUCUCAGAAAGUUUCCGUUUUGAAACUUCUCCGACACUCCUAUCCCGGGCUGGCUCCGGGCGCCAGAGCCGAGAGGAGUUACCUGCGA